ACCUUCGGGCCUCUUGCCAUCGGAUGUGCCCAGAUGGGAUUAGCUAGUAGGUGGGGUAAAGGCUCACCUAGGCGACGAUCCCUAGCUGGUCUGAGAGGAUGACCAGCCACACUGGAACUGAGACACGGUCCAGACUCCUACGGGAGGCAGCAGUGGGGAAUAUUGCACAAUGGGCGCAAGCCUGAUGCAGCCAUGCCGCGUGUAUGAAGAAGGCCUUCGGGUUGUAAAGUACUUUCAGCGGGGAGGAAGGGAGUAAAGUUAAUACCUUUGCUCAUUGACGUUACCCGCAGAAGAAGCACCGGCUAACUCCGUGCCAGCAGCCGCGGUAAUACGGAGGGUGCAAGCGUUAAUCGGAAUUACUGGGCGUAAAGCGCACGCAGGCGGUUUGUUAAGUCAGAUGUGAAAUCCCCGGGCUCAACCUGGGAACUGCAUCUGAUACUGGCAAGCUUGAGUCUCGUAGAGGGGGGUAGAAUUCCAGGUGUAGCGGUGAAAUGCGUAGAGAUCUGGAGGAAUACCGGUGGCGAAGGCGGCCCCCUGGACGAAGACUGACGCUCAGGUGCGAAAG
This 565-nucleotide ribosomal RNA is filed under the name Escherichia coli. RNAcentral's name for it is "bacterial SSU rRNA". It matches the Rfam family "Bacterial small subunit ribosomal RNA", at positions 199 to 759 of the family's 1533-position model. The record is from RNAcentral. Lineage: Bacteria; Pseudomonadati; Pseudomonadota; Gammaproteobacteria; Enterobacterales; Enterobacteriaceae.